AAUUCGACGCAACGCGCAGAACCUUACCUAGACUUGACAUCCCGGGAUUUCUGGAAACAGAGAAGUGCUUUAGCAAUAAAGAACCCGGUGACAGGUGCUGCAUGGGCUGUCGUCAGCUCGUGUCGUGAGAUGUUGGGUUAAGUCCCGCAACGAGCGCAACCCUCGCCUUUAGUUGCCAGCAUUCAGUUGGGCACUCUAGAGGGACUGCCGGUGUCAAAACCCGGGAGGAAGGUGGGAUGACGUCAAGUCCUCAUGGCCUUUAUGUCUAGGGCUACACACGUACUACAAUGGCCGGUACAAAGGGCAGCCACUCAGCGAUGAGGCGCUAAUCCCAUAAAAGCCGGUCUCAGUCCGGAUCGCAGUCUGCAACUCGACUGCGUGAAGUUGGAAUCGCUAGUAAUCGCGGAUCAGCAUGCCGCGGUGAAUACGUUCCCGGGCCUU
This 441-nucleotide ribosomal RNA is filed under the name uncultured Desulfovibrio sp. RNAcentral describes it as "bacterial SSU rRNA". It matches the Rfam family "Bacterial small subunit ribosomal RNA", at positions 948 to 1382 of the family's 1533-position model. Lineage: Bacteria; Pseudomonadati; Thermodesulfobacteriota; Desulfovibrionia; Desulfovibrionales; Desulfovibrionaceae. The record is from RNAcentral.